RNAcentral lists this ribosomal RNA (169 nucleotides) under uncultured bacterium. RNAcentral's name for it is "partial 16S ribosomal RNA". It matches the Rfam family "Bacterial small subunit ribosomal RNA", at positions 338 to 524 of the family's 1533-position model. The record is from RNAcentral.
CCUACGGGAGGCAGCAGUGGGGAAUAUUGGACAAUGGGGGCAACCCUGAUCCAGCCAUGCCGCGUGUGUGAAGAAGGCCUUAUGGUUGUAAAGCUCUUUUACCCGGGAUGAUAAUGACAGUACCGGGAGAAUAAGCUCCGGCUAACUCCGUGCCAGCAGCCGCGGUAAU